GAUGAACGCUGGCGGCGUGCCUAAUACAUGCAAGUCGAACGCACAGCGAAAGGUGCUUGCACCUUUCAAGUGAGUGGCGAACGGGUGAGUAACACGUGGAUAACCUACCUCAAGGGUUGGGGAUAACAUUUGGAAACAGAUGCUAAUACCGAAUAAAACUUCGUAUCGCAUGAUACAAGGUUAAAGGCGCUACGGCGUCACCUAGAGAUGGAUCCGCGGUGCAUUAGUUAGUUGGUGGGGUAAAGGCCUACCAAGACAAUGAUGCAUAGCCGAGUUGAGAGACUGAUCGGCCACAUUGGGACUGAGACACGGCCCAAACUCCUACGGGAGGCUGCAGUAAGGGAAUCUUCCACAACGGGCGAAAGCCUGAUGGAGCAACGCCGCGUGUGUGAUGAAGG
Molecule: ribosomal RNA, 398 nt
Filed under: uncultured bacterium
Lineage: Bacteria
Description: bacterial SSU rRNA
Rfam family: Bacterial small subunit ribosomal RNA
Source: RNAcentral